AAAACCAUAUCUCUUCUCUCUUUCUCUCUCUAAAACCCAAAACACAUAACUAACAGAGAGAGAUUAGAUACUAGCAACGACAAUGGCCACACCGGUGAGAAAGCCUCGCCGCGACACCGCCGACAUGCUGACGUGGCAAGAGGUCCCCCGCUCCGACUCUCCCGCCACCGCCUCCUCCGCUCACCGCUCUCACCAGCCGUCGGAUGGGAUCAGCAAGGUGCUCCACGGCGGUCAGAUCACCGAGGAAGAAGCUCAGAGCCUGAA
Molecule: long non-coding RNA, 264 nt
Organism: Rosa chinensis
Lineage: Eukaryota; Viridiplantae; Streptophyta; Magnoliopsida; Rosales; Rosaceae
Exons: 2
Source: RefSeq, a predicted model, not a curated record